This 260-nucleotide ribosomal RNA is filed under the name uncultured bacterium. RNAcentral describes it as "partial 16S ribosomal RNA". It matches the Rfam family "Bacterial small subunit ribosomal RNA", at positions 524 to 783 of the family's 1533-position model. The record is from RNAcentral.
UACGAAGGGGGCUAGCGUUGCUCGGAAUCACUGGGCGUAAAGGGUGCGUAGGCGGGUCUUUAAGUCAGGGGUGAAAUCCUGGAGCUCAACUCCAGAACUGCCUUUGAUACUGAGGAUCUUGAGUUCGGGAGAGGUGAGUGGAACUGCGAGUGUAGAGGUGAAAUUCGUAGAUAUUCGCAAGAACACCAGUGGCGAAGGCGGCUCACUGGCCCGAUACUGACGCUGAGGCACGAAAGCGUGGGGAGCAAACAGGAUUAGAA